This 66-nucleotide transfer RNA is filed under the name Hexostoma thynni. RNAcentral's name for it is "tRNA-Ile". Lineage: Eukaryota; Metazoa; Platyhelminthes; Monogenea; Diclybothriidea; Hexostomatidae. The record is from RNAcentral.
GCCAAUUGGGCUGCAGUAGCAGGUUAUUCUGAUAUAAUAAUAUUUAAAGUUAAGCUUUCUUUGGUA